This is an RNA transcript of Populus nigra (black poplar), 2608 nucleotides long. It is a transcript of the gene named SNF2 domain-containing protein CLASSY 2-like, with no coding region annotated. NCBI's taxonomy places the organism in Eukaryota, Viridiplantae, Streptophyta, Magnoliopsida, Malpighiales, Salicaceae. The transcript is spliced from 5 exons. The record is from RefSeq and is a predicted model, not a curated record.
AACAGACUAAACCUAUGAAUUUACUACCAAACAGGGCAACAGCUCCGCCACGAACAGACACCUAUGAUUUUACUCAGUGACUCAGAACACUUGUAGAAUUCCUCGCCUCUCUCUCUUUUUUAUUAUUAAGGUGGAUAUUCAGGCCGGCUUGCGCGCAUCUCUUUCUUUCAAUAACUACUCUAUUGGUGAACACUAUUUUAAUGGCUCAGUCUCUUUCUCGAUGAAGACCUAUCCGGAAUCUACUCUUCUCCACCACAACUCACCUGAAUUUGAUUUUUAUCAGAUACCCAGAAGUUCUUUUCAGGUAUAUUUGCUUUCAAUAUAAUAACUUAUGUUUCUUUUUACCCCCCUCCCCCCCCCCCUUUUUUUUUUCUUUCUUGUUUGUUGUGGCAUGUUCACCGGGUUCUAGAGACAACCGGCUGCUCUGUUUUCCUCUCCGAUGUAGAACUGGUGCUGACUAGGGGUUUGACUGCUUCAAGCUUGAGUUUUUUAAGAAUUUAUUUUUUUGGUUGAUCAAUUUUUGCAUUUUUUGAUGGGUCCGCUCGAGGCAUGCCUUAUUUGGUUCAUUCCACCAAACCAAUCACACUAUCUUGUUUUACCUCGCCAAACCGUUAUAAACCGCGGGGUUUAUUGCAUCAACCAAGUAGGCAUUGUUUUGGUUCACCUGGAAAUGAUAGCACCAGACUGAAUUCUAUUUAUGACCAUAUUGAUGGUAUGAUUUCCAUGGGACUUGUCAGUGCCCACCUGUUUAGCCUAGUGGAAAAUUGCAAGCCCGUGAUGAGCUGUUGAGGCUCAAAUCUAUAGUCUGAAUCUCAUUUAUGCAGCCUGGAUUAUUGCUGUGCGGCUAAGAGGCCUGUUCACUCACUUGGAAUUUAACGCUUUCAGGGUUUAUUGAAGAAAAUUGGCUUCUCCACUGAUUAACAAUGAAGAGAAAGCAUUUACAUCAGUCCAAGCACCCAUAUAAUGCACACCCUUUUGAGGCCUUAUACGGCGGCUCUUGGAAAAGCGUGGAGCUCAUAGAAAUCAGGGAUGGGGCUAUGACUCUGCAUUUUGCUGAUAGUCAUCAUAGAAUUGAGGAGAAGGGUCCUUUCUCAAACAUUCGAGUGAAGUCGAGGAAGUCAACUUUGUCUGAUUGCACCUGCUUUCUGAGGCCUGGUAUUGAUGUUUGUGUGCUUUCAUUCUCUGAACGUGCAAAGAGUUCAGAGGAAGGAAAUUCAGAACCUGUGAGUGACCUCGUCAUGUCACUGCAUUACGGAAAGCUCUGUAACUUUCAAAGGAUUGUGGAUGUUGUGGGUUGAUGCUAGGAUAAAUUCUAUCAAGCGGAAACCUCAUGAAUCUCAGUGCUCAUGCCAAGUUUUUGUUAACCUCUAUGUCAACCAAGGUCCUCUUGGUUCGGAGAGAGCAACACUCAGUAAAGAAACUGAAGCAGUAGGAAUCGACCGAAUUUCCAUCCUUCAGAAGCUUGACAAUGAUCCAUGUGAAGCAGACAACAACAGACAUGAAACUCAGUUCUACCGUUGGGAAUUCUGUGAGGACUGUUCUUUAGUGCAAAGAAGUAAACUCUUUUUGAGAAGUUAAGGUUUGAUUGUAAAAGGGAGUCCAAAGUGAUGUUUGUUUUGAAUCUUGUAUAUCGUGUAGUCAAGAAGGACAAGGUUCUGAACUUUUGCCACAACAUAGCACCCAUAAAAUUAUUCCUUGAACUGUUUGAGAAUGUCUUUAGAUGGCAGCUGGGUAAAGAAGUUCUUGUUCUUACAGGGGACCUAGAGCUGUUUGAAUGAGGAAGAGUGAUGGAUAAGUUUGAGGAAUUGGGAGGGCCUUCGAGGGUUUUGCUUGCAUCAAUUACGGCUUGUGCCAAGGGCAUAAGUUUGACAGCAGCAUCACGGGUAAUUCUAUUGGACUCAGAGUGGAAUCCUUCCAAGACAAAGCAGGCUAUUGCAAGAGCCUUUCGGCCUGGUCAACCGAAGAUGGUUUAUGUGUAUCAGCUUCUGGCAACAGGCACAGUUGAAGAAGACAAGUACCAUAGGACGGCAUGGAAGGAGUGGGUCUCACGCAUGAUAUUUAGUGAAGAAUCUGUGGAGGACCCUUCUCGUUGGCAGGCAGAAAAGAUUGAGGAUGAUGUAUUAAGGGAGAUAGUGGAGGAGGACCGGGUGAAGUCAUUCCAUAUGAUAAUGAAGAAUGAGAAGGCUUCAACAAGUUGAUUGGAGACUACCUUCAUUAUAAUAUAGUGGCUUUUGAUAUUGCUUAUGCUUCUCUGGGGAUUUGGAGGUUCUAAUAAUUUCCGCAAUGAAGGUAACGGCAAAUAUAGUAACUUGCUGAGCCAUGUCUUAGCUAUUCAGAAAUCAGAAAAAGCUCCAUCCAUGUCCAGGAAGUUCUAGCAGUUUCUUUCUCGGCAAGAUAAAUGCCGUCCAAAUGCUGUUUAGUUUAAUGAUCUGUUUAUUUUUGUGUCAUUUCAUUUCCAAGUGCUGUUAGGUUGAAGAAUCUGCCAAUCUGGUGGUGCCUUGAAACCUGCCUGCAUUGACCGCAUUAUGGUAAUUACAUUUUAGCUUGAAAUACAAUGAUCUGAAUCAUCUCAUAAAUUGCUAGGAAUUAAGGUUCUCUGUUUUGAUGC